Molecule: ribosomal RNA, 253 nt
Filed under: uncultured bacterium
Lineage: Bacteria
Description: partial 16S ribosomal RNA
Rfam family: Bacterial small subunit ribosomal RNA
Source: RNAcentral
CACGUAGGGCGCAAGCGUUGUCCGGAAUUGUUGGGCGUAAAGGGCGCGUAGGCGGCUCAUGAAGGCUGUGGUGAAAGUCCGGGGCUCAACCCCGGAUCGGCCGUGGCGACUCGUGGGCUGGAGCACUGUAGAGGCGGGUGGAAUUCCGGGUGUAGCGGUGGAAUGCGUAGAGAUCCGGAAGAACACCAGUGGCGAAGGCGGCCCGCUGGGCAGUGGCUGACGCUGAGGCGCGACAGCGUGGGGAGCAAACAGG